Molecule: long non-coding RNA, 220 nt
Organism: Salvelinus namaycush (lake trout)
Lineage: Eukaryota; Metazoa; Chordata; Actinopteri; Salmoniformes; Salmonidae
Exons: 3
Source: RefSeq, a predicted model, not a curated record
CAGCUGUGUGUCCAUGAAGAGUGACCAGUCUAUGGAUCAAAUUAUAGAGUUUAGAGAGGGAGACUUUUCUACUGAACAAAGGUACAAGGACAAGGUAGCACGUCCGGUGAACAGGUCAGAGAUCCAAAGUCACAGGCAGACCAGCGGAAACUGGAUCAGCAGCACUACAAGACCAAUCAAGCAGGAGAGACCAGCUUUCCCUGUACCCAGCUGUGUGUCC